RNAcentral lists this ribosomal RNA (460 nucleotides) under uncultured bacterium. RNAcentral's name for it is "partial 16S ribosomal RNA". It matches the Rfam family "Bacterial small subunit ribosomal RNA", at positions 338 to 795 of the family's 1533-position model. The record is from RNAcentral.
CCUACGGGAGGCAGCAGUGAGGAAUAUUGGUCAAUGGACGAGAGUCUGAACCAGCCAAGUAGCGUGAAGGAUGACUGCCCUAUGGGUUGUAAACUUCUUUUAUAUGGGAAUAAAAUGUUCCACGUGUGGGAUUUUGUAUGUACCAUAUGAAUAAGGAUCGGCUAACUCCGUGCCAGCAGCCGCGGUAAUACGGGGGAUCCGAGCGUUAUCCGGAUUUAUUGGGUUUAAAGGGAGCGUAGGUGGAUUGUUAAGUCAGUUGUGAAAGUUUGCGGCUCAACCGUAAAAUUGCAGUUGAAACUGGCAGUCUUGAGUACAGUAGAGGUGGGCGGAAUUCGUGGUGCAGCGGUGAAAUGCUUAGAUAUCACGAAGAACUCCGAUUGCGAAGGCAGUUCACUGGACUGCAACUGACACUGAGGCUCGAAAGUGUGGGUAUCAAACAGGAUUAGAUACCCCAGUAGUC